GCUCGAAAAGUCUUCAUAGGAAUGCCAGCCAAGCUUAAGAGCGUGAUAAGUGGUCGAUAUAUUUUUCUCGGUCAUUGAAAAGCCUAUGAAGCCUUCUCUGUCGGUACUGAUGUAUAAGGAAAUCUCUGCGUAACUUUCGUGGUGAGCUACGUUGUAUCCAAAUAUACGUGAAAUGGGUCAAGUGCCUAACCAUGGACUUGGAGAGUUAAAGCAAUCAAAGGCAGAAAUUUUGGACAGACCUCAUCUUCUUGCGCAGAAUGUUAUGUAUACGCCAUGCCUGCAUCAUAUUAUCUGCGUUCUAGAAUCCCAGGGCCGAGAAAGUGACGCACACUGUGGACGUGAUAGCUGAAGCAAUAAGCUAUCGAGUGCUGUGUGCCCAUAUUAAUAUAAUAAAAUCAUGAUCAUUUUUUCUUCAUUCGUUAUAUUAAUUUUAAUACAUAAGUAAUAAAAUAAAUAUUAGUUAAUGUCUGAUAAGAAGAAACGUGACACUGACAUAAAAUUAUUGAAAGUAUAUCUAGAAAAAGGGGCAAAAGAACGUCGUGCAAAGACAACUGUUAGGAAAAGUGUACACGUGUGUACUUAAAAAUUGAAAAAAAGAGAAACAAAUGAAAAGAUUGUAUGAAUAACUGGUGCGAUUAUAUGAUUCUUUUCAAACUGAACGCUGAAGCGUAUUCAGGCGUGCUCAUCCAUCCCCAAGCGUAGGAAAGUGAACUGCAUUUUCGAGCUUUGUUUUUUUUUCGCGACAUAUAAUAAAAUCUAUUUAUCUUUUUUGAGUUUGCUUUCGAAGUGUUUGACUUAAAUAUGAACACUUUAUAUACAGGAAAAAACUGCAAUCGUAGCUUACUUCGACGCAAAUUAUAACGUACGAGUUAACCAAUUGUCUAAGCUCGGAUUUGUCUUAAGAAGACCGAUGUCUUGCCGAAAUUUCAUUUUCUUUACCAAGACAUUAUCGAGUUUAAAUUUUUUUUUUUUUUUCAAUUUUUUUAUUUACUAUCAGAUAGAAGGAACACUUUGUGACGUUCUACGAAAUGAUAGCUUUAGAAUUACGUAACUUUGUAGGAAAAAAUGCAUUAUAUUGCUGAUACAAGGGAUAACACUUCGCUAGCUUCUUGCAAUCAGCAGUAAGCGAAUGAUUCGUUCGACUCCGCUCCAGGAAUAUUGUCGUGUCCUCUUUGAUCAUUAAUAUUUAUAAAGUCGAUGAAAGUCUUCCAACAAAUUCGAGGGAAACCGGCUUAUUUCCUCUUAAGGCAUCGUCGCGGAACUAAACUUUGAUCAAAAAACAAUUUUGAACCGUUUCCAUUGUAGUUGUAUUUGAGUACCAGUAUAAACAGUGAAUAACUUAAAAAGCUGAAUGUAUGUCUGCGCACGGUUGCUGAAACUGCUGAAAGGAAAUCGAAGUAUAUAAUCGUCGAUGGAAAGCUGAUCACAUACGGAAAUUACAUUGCGCAGAAAAUCAGGCAAAUUCAGUUAACGGGGACUUCAAAAGAAGCUUUCGAGAAUUACUUCAGCUGCAGAGUUCGCCCGUAAGGCCUUUUAGCACACAAGUGUCAAAAGUUAUCGGUCACAAUGGCGUAUACCUAACCUAAAAAAGUAUGUAUUGGUAUUUUGGAGAAAAUUUUUUUCUUUCAUUUUCGUUACACUCUUUCUUCGCCGACUUAUUAAAACCAAGUGAAAGAAAUAACGGGCGGACAUGCGAUGGACAAUAAGAUUAAAUCGAGCCAGAAUCUUACAUCGAUUAAACGUAAUAAGUUUUUAUGAGUUCUUUAAUGCGUAAAUGCGUGAAAAUAAAUUCUUUCACAUCUCUGCAGGGAGCGCAUUGACUUGUCAACGUUGUAGGAGCUCCAGAGUUGCUUAAUAUGUUUAUGAAAUACUUUUCAUCAGGCGACUUCGUCAUGUUUAAUGUAACAUUUUGGAAAAUGAAUGAAAAAGGAAACCGAGAGCGAUAAAGCAUUUGAUGAACCGAACGAUAGGUUCGAUUCGAAUAAGCAAGCGUGGCGGGCCAAACUAUUUCUUACUAGUUUAUGUUUUAUUUUUUGUUAAGGCACAUAAAUUUUAAUAGUUUAUAAAAUAAUUGCUUUCGAUUCAAAUCAUCUGUAAGCGGGGAAACUUCUCGGCGGGAAGGAUCAAGCCUACAUAUGAACAUGUUAACAGCAGAGAUGGCGGUUUCUUUUAUUAUACAAAAAAAAAAAAAAAAAAAAACCAUUUUCCUACAUAAUUUCUUUCGAGAACAACUUCUCCAAAUUCUUCAAAUAACCUAACGAUAGAGAGUUUCUGAUUUGCAGCAACAACUAAAUAGAAAGUUUUAAAUAUAACAACAAACUUUUUUUUUACCCAAAUGCCCAUGAAACAACAAAACUAUGACAGUUGUAAGUUCCUAAGUCAAUGAGUGAAAAAAGAAGCAUUGAAUUCAUAUUAAAUUAAAAUAACAGUGGAGCAUAUACGGGUAAAAA
Molecule: long non-coding RNA, 2450 nt
Organism: Glossina fuscipes
Lineage: Eukaryota; Metazoa; Arthropoda; Insecta; Diptera; Glossinidae
Exons: 4
Source: RefSeq, a predicted model, not a curated record